RNAcentral lists this ribosomal RNA (253 nucleotides) under uncultured bacterium. RNAcentral describes it as "partial 16S ribosomal RNA". It matches the Rfam family "Bacterial small subunit ribosomal RNA", at positions 524 to 776 of the family's 1533-position model. The record is from RNAcentral.
GACGGAAGGUGCAAGCGUUGCUCGGAAUCACUGGGCGUAAAGGGUGCGUAGGCGGAUUAGUAAGUCAGUGGUGAAAGCCCGUCGCUUAACGGCGGAACUGCCAUUGAUACUGCUAGUCUUGAGUAUGGUUGAGGUGGGCGGAAUGUGUUAUGUAGCGGUGAAAUGCUUAGAUAUGACCCAGAACACCAAUUGCGAAGGCAGCUCGCUAAGCCAUAACUGACGCUGAGGCACGAAAGCGUGGGGAGCAAACAGG